GCAAAUUCAUAGAUUUAAAAGAUAUGUUUGAAUUGCGACAGUUUUAGCGGUGAUAAGAUAUGAAAAUUAAUUAAGUCGGUUAUAAUUUGAAUGGGCGGGCAAAUAUUUCCGCUCUCCACAUUUUGGGGUUUUGAAUAGAGUCUCAAAAUUACUCGCUGAUUCAUAUUCCACCUUCCUUCAUUCACUUCCUAAACCCUAAUUUCAUUUCCCUCCCUCUAAUUUCAUUAGUCGUGUGGUUAUGGUUUUGUGUUUGCUUGUGACGGGGAAGGAGCGAGCAAUAUAGAGAAACGGCACUCAUGGCGGAAGCAUAGGAUGGAGAAACAUUCCUUGAGGUUAAUUUCUGACGAAAUCAACGCCAUCAAAGACAGGGAAGAUGCUUGGGCAGACUCUUGUCACCAAAUAAACAGCCCCCCAAGGCAAAGUUUCUCAGGAAGGUUGGGCCCCUUGCUGCAUAUUAUCAAGUACCACUGCGUCAUAUCCUACUGGUAUAUGACGAGAUGAGCUUGCCGAAUCAUGUUUUGAGGCUUCAGCCCAGGGGAGGACAUGGGUAUCAUAAUGGAUUAGUUUAUUAGAAAUGCUGAGCAUAAAAAGAAGAAGAUGAUGAAUAUGACAUUAAAUGUGAUGACAGAUGAAAAUGAUAAGAUUGAAAAGUCGAACUUGGUUAUCAACGAGCUCGUUAAGGAAAAGAAUGAAGAAAAAGAAAGGUUAAAUGGAGUUAUUGCGGGCUUGUUGGCUGAAAAAGAAAAAGAUAAGGUGGACAAAGAUGUCAUGCUCAAUAGGAUGUCACAAAUUGAAGCUACGUUAACCGCUAUGGUUCGAAGAUAGGCUAUAAACACUUGAUUUUGAAUGUUUUGAUGUUUAUCAUAUUAGAAUAAUUUCGGUAAUUUGAUGUUUUAGUUGGCAUUUAUAUUAGAAUGUUUUAUAAUUUUAUAUAUUUUUGGGAUUUUGUAAUUU
Molecule: long non-coding RNA, 954 nt
Organism: Helianthus annuus (common sunflower)
Lineage: Eukaryota; Viridiplantae; Streptophyta; Magnoliopsida; Asterales; Asteraceae
Exons: 6
Source: RefSeq, a predicted model, not a curated record